UCGCUUUCAAGCUCGCUUACGUUUUGUUUGCCUGGGUGGUUAGGAGGGGAUCAUGUCCAGUGUGAAUUUGUUUUGACCAAAUUAGGUUUGGGAAAUCUCGCAAGUUUUUUCUCACGCGAUUCGUCAUGUAACAGUUGACGUUGAUGGUUGGGCCUAAUGACAGCUCUUAUGUUUCUUCAAAUUUUAUGCUUGCCGGGCCUGGAUGUAUGCCUAUCUCAAUUCAUGGUUGACAUGUUCAUCCUGAAGCGGAUUGUUUCUGCGUAUGUUUUUUUUGCAUGAUUGAGUUUCGUGUAUCUCGACCAGGGUGUGUGGUUCCAGUUUGGAUUUUGGUUUCGAGAGGAUUUCGUCUCCCUCCAGUAGCUUCAAUUUACCUCAAUUCAUGGUUGACAUGUUCAUACUGGAGUGGAUUGUUUACUGCAUAGAAGGUGUAGGGAUCCAUCCAGUUUGGAGAUCCCAGUUUGGAUUUGGAUUUUGAGAGGAUAUUGUCUCCUAAGGUAGUUUCAAUUCAUGUAAAGCAGAUCAGAGAGCUGCAAGGCCUGCUGACUUAUUGACCGUUUCACAGAAUUUCAGUUGUUUCACUGUUGCCUAGGAUGUGUUCUGCGAUAUCUUCAGUCGCGGUGGAUUGCAUCGCUGUUGCCUUAAUUUUCUGUCCAAAUUGUACCUUUGCACUCUUAGGAGUUUCAAUUCAUGUAAAGCAGAUCAGAGAGCUGCAAGGCCUGCUGUCUUAUUGACUGUCUUCACAGAAUUUCAGCAGUUUCACUGUUUCCGGUAGGAUGUUUUCUGGGAUAUCUUCAAUCGCGGUGGAUCGCAUCGCUGUUGCCUUAAUUUUCUGUCCAAAUUGUACCUUUGCACUCAAAAGCUGAUAAUAGAAUCCUUUUGCCCUAGGAUCUUUUAAUCCCCAAAAGUUGAUUUUCAAUGGGACAAAGUCACAAAUUUUGGUAGUGCUUUGAUCAUCAUUUUAGGAGAUUGCACGGAAGGGGGUUAUGCUGUAUGCGGAAGGGGGUGAUGCUGUAUAGUUUAGCUGCUGUUUAACCUACUCUGUUUGAUGUAAGCUUUAGAUCCUUGCAGUGAUGAUAUUAGUCAGUUGUUUUAUCUACCACUCCAGCAUGCUAGUCAGCUCAUAUUGUGCAUCUACAUUGAUUUAUCUGCAAUUUCAUGGACAUCGUCACUAUGGCAACGCUUUUAACGGAACUGAAAGCGCCAAGGAGUCGAGCAAGAAGAAACCUUUUGUUGAGAAAGUUAAAGUUCUCACCAAAGAACUUCUAGAAAGGUACUGGGCACCACUGAGGCCAGGGGAAAAACUGAUUGUAUCAUCUACUAUCGGCUAUUGUGGGUUCUUGCUCGAGAUGGUUCAUACCACCGAGAAGCAGAAGCUGUAGAAAGUUACUCCAGUUUAAUUUAAUCUGUGUAUCUGUGACAUCUCAAACUUGUGUUAUGUCAUCUACUAUGUGGUGUUUAACUUAAUAUAUGAUGUGGCAGACUUGAUUAACUCCACUAGUAAUAGUAGGUUUGUGUCCUGCUGUCUUACUAUGUGUUUUGUUCUUACUAGCAAAAUGUCCAUGUUGCAAUGGUUAAAAAUAAA
Molecule: long non-coding RNA, 1582 nt
Organism: Setaria italica (foxtail millet)
Lineage: Eukaryota; Viridiplantae; Streptophyta; Magnoliopsida; Poales; Poaceae
Exons: 2
Source: RefSeq, a predicted model, not a curated record